ACUCCUACGGGAGGCAGCAGUGGGGAAUAUUGCACAAUGGGCGAAAGCCUGAUGCAGCGACGCCGCGUGAGGGAUGACGGCCUUCGGGUUGUAAACCUCUUUCAGCAGGGAAGAAGCUUAAUCGUGACGGUACCUGCAGAAGAAGCACCGGCUAACUACGUGCCAGCAGCCGCGGUAAUACGUAGGGUGCGAGCGUUGUCCGGAAUUAUUGGGCGUAAAGAGCUUGUAGGCGGUUUGUCGCGUCUGCUGUGAAAACUCGGGGCUUAACCCCGAGCCUGCAGUGGGUACGGGCAGACUAGAGUAUGGUAGGGGAGACUGGAAUUCCUGGUGUAGCGGUGGAAUGCGCAGAUAUCAGGAGGAACACCGAUGGCGAAGGCAGGUCUCUGGGCCAUAACUGACGCUGAGAAGCGAAAGCAUGGGGAGCGAACAGGAUUAGAUACCCUGGUAGUCCAUGCCGUAAACGUUGGGCGCUAGGUGUGGGGCUCAUUCCACGAGUUCCGUGCCGCAGCUAACGCAUUAAGCGCCCCGCCUGGGGAGUACGGCCGC
RNAcentral lists this ribosomal RNA (546 nucleotides) under uncultured bacterium. RNAcentral's name for it is "bacterial SSU rRNA". It matches the Rfam family "Bacterial small subunit ribosomal RNA", at positions 335 to 889 of the family's 1533-position model. The record is from RNAcentral.